AAGUCGUAACAAGGUUUCCGUAGGUGAACCUGCGGAAGGAUCAUUACAGAGUAUGGUUGGGGUUCGCCCUGGCAUACCCGUCCUUAUGUCAUUUACGUCAUUCCUCUCACAGAAGUGUGGAAGUGCAAAGACGAACGUUUAACUUCGGUUGAGGUGUUCGGUUGCCUGGAGGUGAAUCACCAAAAGGGACAGGACCGCGGCCGGUCGGCCUCGAGAGAGUGCUGAUUUUUACAACUCUUUUUGAAAGAUUUAUGAAGUCUGAACAAAUUGAUAAAUGAAAAGCAAAACUUUCAACAACGGAUCUCUUGGCUCUG
RNAcentral lists this unclassified non-coding RNA (314 nucleotides) under fungal sp. Its description in RNAcentral is "partial internal transcribed spacer region". The stretch from base 1 to 46 matches the Rfam family "Eukaryotic small subunit ribosomal RNA", at positions 1786 to 1831 of the family's 1831-position model. Lineage: Eukaryota; Fungi. The record is from RNAcentral.